RNAcentral lists this ribosomal RNA (549 nucleotides) under uncultured bacterium. Its description in RNAcentral is "bacterial SSU rRNA". It matches the Rfam family "Bacterial small subunit ribosomal RNA", at positions 355 to 896 of the family's 1533-position model. The record is from RNAcentral.
UGGGGAAUUUUGGACAAUGGGCGCAAGCCUGAUCCAGCCAUGCCGCGUGUCUGAAGAAGGCCUUCGGGUUGUAAAGGACUUUUGUCAGGGAAGAAAAGGGCGGGGUUAAUACCCCUGUCUGAUGACGGUACCUGAAGAAUAAGCACCGGCUAACUACGUGCCAGCAGCCGCGGUAAUACGUAGGGUGCGAGCGUUAAUCGGAAUUACUGGGCGUAAAGUGGGCGCAGACGGUUACUUAAGCAGGAUGUGAAAUCCCCGGGCUCAACCUGGGAACUGCGUUCUGAACUGGGUGACUAGAGUGUGUCAGAGGGAGGUAGAAUUCCACGUGUAGCAGUGAAAUGCGUAGAGAUGUGGAGGAAUACCGAUGGCGAAGGCAGCCUCCUGGGAUAACACUGACGUUCAUGCCCGAAAGCGUGGGUAGCAAACAGGAUUAGAUACCCUGGUAGUCCACGCCCUAAACGAUGUCGAUUAGCUGUUGGGCAGCAUGACUGCUUAGUAGCGAAGCUAACGCGUGAAAUCGACCGCCUGGGGAGUACGGCCGCAAGGUUA